Molecule: ribosomal RNA, 489 nt
Filed under: uncultured bacterium
Lineage: Bacteria
Description: bacterial SSU rRNA
Rfam family: Bacterial small subunit ribosomal RNA
Source: RNAcentral
AUUGAACGCUGGCGGAAUGCUUUACACAUGCAAGUCGAACGGCAGCACGGGGCAACCUGGUGGCGAGUGGCGAACGGGUGAGUAAUAUAUCGGAACGUGCCCAAUCGUGGGGGAUAACGUAGCGAAAGUUACGCUAAUACCGCAUACGAUCUACGGAUGAAAGCGGGGGAUCGCAAGGCCUCGCGCGAAUGGAGCGGCCGAUAUCAGAUUAGGUAGUUGGUGGGGUAAAGGCUCACCAAGCCAACGAUCUGUAGCUGGUCUGAGAGGACGACCAGCCACACUGGAACUGAGACACGGUCCAGACUCCUACGGGAGGCAGCAGUGGGGAAUUUUGGACAAUGGGCGCAAGCCUGACGCAGCAACGCCGCGUGUGUGACGAAGGCCCUUGGGUUGUAAAGCACUGUGGGCAGGGAAGAAAAAACGGGGGUUAGUACCCGGUCUUGACGGUACCUGUUUAGAAAGCACCGGCUAACUCCGUGCCAGCAGCCG